Long non-coding RNA from Rhineura floridana, 1112 nucleotides. RefSeq lists it as uncharacterized. The record is from RefSeq and is a predicted model, not a curated record. NCBI's taxonomy places the organism in Eukaryota, Metazoa, Chordata, Lepidosauria, Squamata, Rhineuridae. The transcript is spliced from 4 exons.
GGAGGCUCGAGGGCGGCAGCUGAAGGGCAAGAGCCGCCUUCUCAAAGGUGCCCCGUCCACCUCCCGGCGUUGGAAUAAGGUCAAAUCAGACGCCCCGGGCCUGUCUGGAGCCCAAGGCCCAUGCCCUACUGAGCACCACUCACCUGAAGCCGCCAUGUUGGGAAGAGGAGAGAAGGCAAAAGGCCCGGAUGCGGCCGUCACGUGAUUAUAGCGAAAGAGGCACCUCCUUCUCCUCUGAGGGGGGCGUAUGCAAAAAGAAGGAGGGGAAGUGGGGCGGAGCGAGCGAGAAGCCGAUUAGGCGGAUUGGUUCUGCGAUUCUCAGUUUGGAGGAGGAGGUAGCAUCACGUAGAACAACGCUUCCGAGGUCGAAUCUACUUUCUAAAAGUGGAGGAUUGAUCCCCGCCGGCAUCUCCACCUAUAAAAGGACCCCAAGACGGCAGGGUUGGUGGGACGCGGAGGUCGCUAUUGUCGGUGGUGUGUUUUUAACUUAGCGCGUAUCCCACUUUACUGGCUCUACAACCUAUUUCUGAUGCAGUUUUAGAUCAAGCCUAAAAGAAUCACAGUCUUACACCAUAUUUCUGCUCCAGGAGCUAGAGGGAGCCCCAGCUGAUGAAGUGUCAAGGCCCCAGCUGACAAAGCAUCAAGGCGAGUUAAGCAGCAGAGCGAAAAGAGGUCUUCAUCAACCAGUGUGCUGAUGGAAGUUGUGAUCCAGAACAUCUGAAAGACUGGGGAAGGCUAAUUGGAAUGAUCUUAAGUCCAUGUUAUCCGCAAAGCUCUCCUCCAACAACACAUUUCAAAUGAGUUGAUUUUUCUCUAACCUUUGCCACAUCGUAGGACUUCAUUAUGUAUACAAACAAAAAAGAAGGCAGGGAUCAAUUAUUGGCAUAUUUACACAUUUGGAAUACAUGAAUAAUAUGCAAUAUAAUGCAAACUGUAGAUGUAAACCCAAUCCAUUGAAGGCAGCUUGCUCCACCCAAAAGAAGCUGUAAACUCUUAACUCUGAGUGGCAUUGUUUUUGAAAAUGAUGUAUGGAAUAAUCUGUUGAAUAUAUGUAAGGUAACAGAGAAAAUGUUAUAGAUGUUUUUAAUUUUGUUGUGAAUAUAUAAGGAAAA